Long non-coding RNA from Triticum aestivum (bread wheat), 1215 nucleotides. RefSeq lists it as uncharacterized. Lineage: Eukaryota; Viridiplantae; Streptophyta; Magnoliopsida; Poales; Poaceae. The record is from RefSeq and is a predicted model, not a curated record. The transcript is spliced from 4 exons.
GAUUCUCAAUUGUGUUUCCUCAUGAUAUAGUUACUGAGAGUAAACACCAUCUGUCAGCUUCAUGGAUUCUUUUCCAAGAUUUUACUUUGUCUUUCUUCUUGAUUUUCCAGUCGUGCAAAAUACAAUUGAGAGAAAAAUUUAAAAAGCACACAAGUGGGCCAUGGUGCUUCUCCGGUAGGUACAACACAGAUUUUGGAAUUUAUCCGAGAACGAGGUGGCCGAUUGAGCAUGCCGAUGCUCUACAGAUAUGCUCAGUAAUUUCCCAUUAGGUGGGCAGAGAUUACUCCAAAGAGGAGACGUCCUUUGUCUUGCAAAUAUGGAAAUACCAGUGCUCAGUUAUCCAGAAAUUCCAAUGGUUAAACGGAGAGUACUCUGAAGACCAGGCUUUGCUUUGUUUUGCAAGGAUGGAAAUGCCGAUGUUCAGUCAUUCAGAAAAAUAUAUAUUCCAGUGGUAUGUUCAAGCUUAGUGUAAUUACUGUCUUCUUCGUUCUUGGUUUGUUACAAUCGUAUAAAAUAGCACUCGAACAACUUAAUAAAAAUUGACACUAGGUGCUUGGUGCCAGAGACCUUGCACAAACGCCUGCAUGCCAUAUCAUCUGAUUAGAGACGCUACAGAAUAAUAAGUCGAGGAACAUGUGAUUAGAUAAGAGAUAGAAGAAAAUAAUAGAAUAGUCAAACAAUCCAAAUCAGAAUAGGAGAAGCAUUGGGCAUACAUUGUAUAUCUCACUCUCACCCACAACCUACUCACAUAUGCCCCACCAGCAACUUCAGGGUGUUAUAAUUUCCCCCUUGAAAUUACCAAAUACUUCUAUCAUUCUAAUUUUCUCUAAUAAUUUAAACUUCUACCCUUAAGACAGAUGGGCGCGGCAACGCACACAUUUCUGUUCUAGUGGACAUCGUAUGAGGCGUCCAAACCAGGGGAUGAGUCAGACCUCUUCUCUCCAGGGACCUUUCGACGGCCUUUGUCUUCUCCAGAGCGGCUGUGGCUUUUCCCUUGAGGGAAGGAAUUUUCGGCUGUUGAGCACAAAGAAGGGAGCCCGGGCACAAGAUCUCAGCCGUUCUCGCCUCAGAGGAGGGGUCCACGUUCCCUGUCAUCGGCUCCUCGGAGGGCACACUAAUAGAGUACUGAGGGCCCCUUGUCCUGGAGGUGCUCACGUACAUGGUUGACUAGCAAGCCUCCCAACUGCCAGGAAAUGGAAAGCUGAGAUGCAAAGG